GGGUAGGUAGCACGUAAUUGGCAGCGUCCUCGGCUGUAAACCGAGUGCUCUUUGGAGUCUUGAAGGUUCAAAGCCUUCCCUGCCCA
Molecule: transfer RNA, 86 nt
Filed under: Blastocatellia bacterium
Lineage: Bacteria; Pseudomonadati; Acidobacteriota; Blastocatellia
Description: tRNA-Tyr
Rfam family: tRNA
About the family: Transfer RNA (tRNA) molecules are approximately 80 nucleotides in length. Their secondary structure includes four short double-helical elements and three loops (D, anti-codon, and T loops). Further hydrogen bonds mediate the characteristic L-shaped molecular structure. tRNAs have two regions of fundamental functional importance: the anti-codon, which is responsible for specific mRNA codon recognition, and the 3' end, to which the tRNAs corresponding amino acid is attached (by aminoacyl-tRNA synthetases). tRNAs cope with the degeneracy of the genetic code in two manners: having more than one tRNA (with a specific anti-codon) for a particular amino acid; and 'wobble' base-pairing, i.e. permitting non-standard base-pairing at the 3rd anti-codon position.
Source: RNAcentral